CCUACGGGGGGCAGCAGUGGGGGAUAUUGCACAAUGGGGGAAACCCUGAUGCAGCGACGCCGCGUGGGUGAAGAAGUAUUUCGGUAUGUAACGCCCUAUCAGCAGGGAAGAAAGAAGACGGUACCUGACUAAGAAGCCCCGGCUAACUACGUGCCAGCAGCCGCGGUAAUACGUAGGGGGCGAGCGUUAUCCGGAUUCACUGGGUGUAAAGGGAGCGUAGACGGCCGUGCAAGCCAGGAGUGAAAGCCCGGGGCCCAACCCCGGGACUGCUCUUGGAACUGUGCGGCUGGAGUGCGGGAGGGGCAGGCGGAAUUCCUGGUGUAGCGGUGAAAUGCGUAGAUAUCAGGAGGAACACCGGCGGCGAAGGCGGCCUGCUGGACCGCGACUGACGUUGAGGCUCGAAAGCGUGGGGAGCGAACAGGAUUAGAUACCCGAGUAGUC
RNAcentral lists this ribosomal RNA (441 nucleotides) under uncultured bacterium. Its description in RNAcentral is "partial 16S ribosomal RNA". It matches the Rfam family "Bacterial small subunit ribosomal RNA", at positions 338 to 795 of the family's 1533-position model. The record is from RNAcentral.